This 218-nucleotide ribosomal RNA is filed under the name Vibrio parahaemolyticus. RNAcentral describes it as "partial 23S ribosomal RNA". It matches the Rfam family "Bacterial large subunit ribosomal RNA", at positions 1329 to 1550 of the family's 2925-position model. Lineage: Bacteria; Pseudomonadati; Pseudomonadota; Gammaproteobacteria; Vibrionales; Vibrionaceae. The record is from RNAcentral.
CCUCCUCGCCGGAAGACCAAGGGUUCCUGUCCAACGUUAAUCGGGGCAGGGUAAGUCGACCCCUAAGGCGAGGCCGAAAGGCGUAGUCGAUGGGAAACGGGUUAAUAUUCCCGUACUUCUUACAAUUGCGAUGGGGGGACGGAGAAGGCUAGGUGGGCCUGGCGACGGUUGUCCAGGUUCAAGUGCGUAGGCUUGAGAGUUAGGUAAAUCCGGCUCUC